GGAAGUUGACUAAUGCCUCGGAGCAGUCUGCACAGGGAGACCAGGACAAGUAACAAGUGACCGUGUAUUUGAGAUUACGAUCCAAGGUUUCCAGGUUCUCCAGAAAUCGAAUCUACAUAAUACAUACAACAGUUGGCUGCGAUUAGCUGACGACCAAUUCCGGGUGUUCCCCGCCUGCUGCCCGAUAACUGCUGGGAUAGGCUCCAGCACGCCGGCGACCCCCAUGGGGAAAAGCGGGCCAUACGAUCUCAGCGGCAGAUGUAUGAGUACGCACCACUAAUGAAGAUGGCCAAUGGGGCAGUGGUCAGCGGAAUGACAAGUGGCGCACCGGCAAACAAGGAGUAGAUCACCCCUCCGAUGCUCUGGCCGACUAUGG
Syngnathus typhle (broad-nosed pipefish) is the source of this 376-nucleotide long non-coding RNA. RefSeq lists it as uncharacterized. NCBI's taxonomy places the organism in Eukaryota, Metazoa, Chordata, Actinopteri, Syngnathiformes, Syngnathidae. The transcript is spliced from 3 exons. The record is from RefSeq and is a predicted model, not a curated record.